GACGAACGCUGGCGGCGUGCUUAACACAUGCAAGUCGAACGGUAAGGCUCCAGCUUGCUGGGGUACACGAGUGGCGAACGGGUGAGUAACACGUGGGUGACCUGCCCUGCACUUCGGGAUAAGCCUGGGAAACUGGGUCUAAUACCGGAUAGGACCGCACCGUGAGGGUGUGGUGGAAAGUUUUUUCGGUGUGGGAUGGGCCCGCGGCCUAUCAGCUUGUUGGUGGGGUAAUGGCCUACCAAGGCGGCGACGGGUAGCCGGCCUGAGAGGGUGGACGGCCACAUUGGGACUGAGACACGGCCCAGACUCCUACGGGAGGCAGCAGUGGGGAAUAUUGCACAAUGGGCGGAAGCCUGAUGCAGCGACGCCGCGUGGGGGAUGACGGCCUUCGGGUUGUAAACUCCUUUCACCAUCGACGAAGGGUUUCUGACGGUAGAUGGAGAAGAAGCACCGGCUAACUACGUGCCAGCAGCCGCGGUAAUACGUAGGGUGCGAGCGUUGUCCGGAAUUACUGGGCGUAAAGAGCUCGUAGGUGGUUUGUCGCGUCGUCUGUGAAAUUCCGGGGCUUAACUCCGGGCGUGCAGGCGAUACGGGCAUAACUUGAGUACUGUAGGGGAGACUGGAAUUCCUGGUGUAGCGGUGAAAUGCGCAGAUAUCAGGAGGAACACCGGUGGCGAAGGCGGGUCUCUGGGCAGUAACUGACGCUGAGGAGCGAAAGCAUGGGGAGCGAACAGGAUUAGAUACCCUGGUAGUCCAUGCCGUAAACGGUGGGCGCUAGGUGUGGGUUUCCUUCCACGGGAUCCGUGCCGUAGCUAACGCAUUAAGCGCCCCGCCUGGGGAGUACGGCCGCAAGGCUAAAACUCAAAGGAAUUGACGGGGGCCCGCACAAGCGGCGGAGCAUGUGGAUUAAUUCGAUGCAACGCGAAGAACCUUACCUGGGCUUGACAUAUACAGGAUCGCGCCAGAGAUGGUGUUUCCCUUGUGGCUUGUAUACAGGUGGUGCAUGGUUGUCGUCAGCUCGUGUCGUGAGAUGUUGGGUUAAGUCCCGCAACGAGCGCAACCCUUGUCUUAUGUUGCCAGCACGUUAUGGUGGGGACUCGUAAGAAACUGCCGGGGUUAACUCGGAGGAAGGUGGGGGUGACGUCAAAUCAUCAUGCCCCUUAUGUCCAGGGCUUCACACAUGCUACAAUGGUCGGUACAGUGGGUUGCCAGUCCGUGAGGGCGAGCUAAUCCCGCAAAGCCGGUCUCAGUUCGGAUCGGGGUCUGCAACUCGACCCCGUGAAGUCGGAGUCGCUAGUAAUCGCAGAUCAGCAACGCUGCGGUGAAUACGUUCCCGGGCCU
This 1341-nucleotide ribosomal RNA is filed under the name uncultured bacterium. Its description in RNAcentral is "partial 16S ribosomal RNA". It matches the Rfam family "Bacterial small subunit ribosomal RNA", at positions 28 to 1381 of the family's 1533-position model. The record is from RNAcentral.